This 71-nucleotide transfer RNA is filed under the name Cordylochernes scorpioides. RNAcentral's name for it is "tRNA-Gly". It matches the Rfam family "tRNA". From Rfam's summary of the family: Transfer RNA (tRNA) molecules are approximately 80 nucleotides in length. Their secondary structure includes four short double-helical elements and three loops (D, anti-codon, and T loops). Lineage: Eukaryota; Metazoa; Arthropoda; Arachnida; Pseudoscorpiones; Chernetidae. The record is from RNAcentral.
CCAUCGGUGGUUCAGUGGUAGAAUGCUCGCCUGCCACGCGGGUGACCCGGAUUCGAUUCCCGGCCGAUGCA